AGGAAUAUUGGUCAAUGGGAGGAAUCCUGAACCAGCCAUGCCGCGUGGGGGAAGAAGGUCCUAUGGGUUGUAAACCCCUUUUGUUCCGGAGUAAUAAACCCCUUGCGAGGGGCGAUGAGAGUACGGGACGAAUAAGCAUCGGCUAACUCCGUGCCAGCAGCCGCGGUAAUACGGAGGAUGCGAGCGUUAUCCGGAUUUAUUGGGUUUAAAGGGUGCGCAGGCGGCGCGUUAAGUCAGCGGUGAAAUGUCCCGGCUCAACCGGGGCCCUGCCGUUGAUACUGGCGUGCUGGAGUACGGACGGCGCCGGCGGAAUGUGUCAUGUAGCGGUGAAAUGCUUAGAUAUGCCACAGAACACCGAUCGCGAAGGCAGCUGGCGAGGCCGGUACUGACGCUGAGGCACGAAAGCGUGGGGAUCAAACA
RNAcentral lists this ribosomal RNA (420 nucleotides) under uncultured bacterium. Its description in RNAcentral is "bacterial SSU rRNA". It matches the Rfam family "Bacterial small subunit ribosomal RNA", at positions 357 to 774 of the family's 1533-position model. The record is from RNAcentral.